This is a long non-coding RNA of Manis pentadactyla (Chinese pangolin), 718 nucleotides long. RefSeq lists it as uncharacterized. The transcript is spliced from 3 exons. The record is from RefSeq and is a predicted model, not a curated record. NCBI's taxonomy places the organism in Eukaryota, Metazoa, Chordata, Mammalia, Pholidota, Manidae.
CUCCAGCCUUCAGCUCAAGACUCAGCCCAGCCUGUGCAUGAGUCAAGGUCAGAGGCAGCAUUCCAGAACUGGAAACCCCCUGGGUGGCCACGUCAAGGCUCCUGAAGUCACUGGCUUCCACUUCCCCAGGAGGCCUCAGUCUUUACAGAGAGCUGCGCCUGGGACAGCUAGGUCGCCAGCAUAAAAAGGCACGACAGGCUGUUGUUUCCCACCCCACCCUGCUUCCCAGCGCCUAUAAAUGCUGCAGGAUGGCUGACCGUGCACACCACGUUCCACUACCUGUCCACGGACCCCGUGGGAAUUUGGCCCAGGUAGCGUUGCCGUGCGCUGCCGCCUUCGGAUGCUUGGUGGGGAGGAGGCCCUCCAGGAGGGCAGAGCAGCCUGGGGAGGGUGUGGAGCUGGGGUGAGACAGCUUGGUGGGAGCUGGGGUCGCUCGUAGCCGAGGAGUCUGGGCUCAGUCCGGCAGGAAGAGGGAAAUCCAUUCAGGUUUUGGAACAGGCGAGUCUUAUUAUGCAUCAGCUGACCCACCGACCACGUGCAUUUUGAAGCAAGAGCCACAUCACCUCUUAAUUGGACCAAAUCCCACCUUUGACCUAUGUCUGCGGCCUUUCUGGGCAACGCGAACGAGUCACACCAAUGAGAAAACAUUUUUUGAAAGAGCGUAUUUCCCAAGAAACGUUGCACAAUAAUCAUGGGGAAAAUUCAAAACCUGUUGGAG